CCUACGGGUGGCUGCAGUGGGGAAUAUUGCACAAUGGGCGCAAGCCUGAUGCAGCCAUGCCGCGUGUGUGAAGAAGGCCUUCGGGUUGUAAAGCACUUUCAGCGGGGAGGAAGGCGGUGAGGUUAAUAACCUCAUCGAUUGACGUUACCCGCAGAAGAAGCACCGGCUAACUCCGUGCCAGCAGCCGCGGUAAUACGGAGGGUGCAAGCGUUAAUCGGAAUUACUGGGCGUAAAGCGCACGCAGGCGGUCUGUCAAGUCGGAUGUGAAAUCCCCGGGCUCAACCUGGGAACUGCAUUCGAAACUGGCAGGCUAGAGUCUUGUAGAGGGGGGUAGAAUUCCAGGUCUAGCGGUGAAAUGCGUAGAGAUCUGGAGGAAUACCGGUGGCGAAGGCGGCCCCCUGGACAAAGACUGACGCUCAGGUGCGAAAGCGUGGGGAGCAAACAGGAUUAGAUACCCGGGUAGUC
RNAcentral lists this ribosomal RNA (465 nucleotides) under uncultured Klebsiella sp. Its description in RNAcentral is "bacterial SSU rRNA". It matches the Rfam family "Bacterial small subunit ribosomal RNA", at positions 338 to 795 of the family's 1533-position model. The record is from RNAcentral. Lineage: Bacteria; Pseudomonadati; Pseudomonadota; Gammaproteobacteria; Enterobacterales; Enterobacteriaceae.